CCAAGCAAGCAAGCAAGCAAGCGGGAGUCCCGGCUCUCCCUCGGCUCCGUCCCUUCCUUUCUUCCGACAUCCCCUUCUCCCGUCCCUCCUAUCCGCAUUGAUUUCCCCCUCCGCCCCGAGGCUCCACCCGGCUUUGGGGCGGCGCUUGUUCGAAUCCAGCCCUGCCAGAAAAUCCCGAGGAAGAGUUUUUGCGUCCCUGCUUCACGUCUGAAGAUUAUUAGGCUUGGGCUGGAGCUUCGGCUUGCUUUCCUCCUUGCCGCCAACCUCUCUCUUCCCGCCCCCCCACCGCCCGCCAGCGGCCCGAUCCACGUCCUUUGCUCGGCGGGUCCAAAGAUCUUUAAGGAAAAAACAGUCCCUUGUGCUAAAGCUGGGGCUUCAUUGACCAUAACAAGGGGCAUGCUGUUCUGGAGUGAAAGAUCCUCUUUUCAGCGGUGAAGGAGCUUAAUGAACGAAUAAGAAGCCGAGAAGCUUCAAUGCAUGAGAACCUGUUUGGGGGACGCACAGAUAAAUCCCUUGGAAAUAGGGGAGAAAGUUCUCAUGCUUGGUCUUAGCAAUGAACUGCUUGUCUUAAAUCUGCCAUUUUGACCACAGCACUGGAAAAUGGAGUUUGACGUGGCAGGCAGCUGAACUUUAGUCAUGUGUAAGUAUACUCGACCCCAUUAUGUGUUUUUCCCAGAAGAGAGAAAAUUAUAUUCUCAACAGCCAAGACCUAGAACAGCUCCAAGCCUGUAUGCUUUAUGGAUAAGCCACAGUUGUGGUAAAUGUGGAAAUUUCACCAGCAACUUCAAGAUCUGAAGCACUACAAAUUGAUUUGAUGCUAGCAGGAAGAAAACGGAGGGUAUUCAUUUGCGUCCCCUGCAGCAUCAGCUGACCUCAAAGAGCCUCAGAUCCUAAGUGACUUUUAGCGGAUCUGAUUGUAAGGACCCACUUCUGCUUUUUUAAAAAAAGACCACAAAACUUUAUUUAUUUAAUCGUCUUUCUCGGGUUGGGCGCUGGAGAGAAAAGCUU
RNAcentral lists this long non-coding RNA (1008 nucleotides) under Pogona vitticeps (central bearded dragon). RNAcentral's name for it is "lncRNA (ENSPVIG00000007850.1)". Lineage: Eukaryota; Metazoa; Chordata; Lepidosauria; Squamata; Agamidae. The record is from RNAcentral.